Molecule: ribosomal RNA, 582 nt
Filed under: Halorubrum distributum
Lineage: Archaea; Methanobacteriati; Methanobacteriota; Halobacteria; Halobacteriales; Haloferacaceae
Description: partial 16S ribosomal RNA
Rfam family: Archaeal small subunit ribosomal RNA
Source: RNAcentral
UUUUCGGUACCGUAAGGUGGUACCAGAAUAAAGGGCUGGGCAAGACCGGUGCCAGCCGCCGCGGUAAUACCGGCAGCCCAAGUGAUGGCCCGAUCUUAUUGGGCCUAAAGCGUCCGUAGCUGGCCGCGCAAGUCCAUCGGGAAAUCCACCUGCUCAACAGGUGGGCGCCCGGUAGAAACUGCGUGGCUUGGGACCGGAAGGCGCGACGGGUACGUCCGGGGUAGGAGUGAAAUCCCGUAAUCCUGGACGGACCGCCGAUGGCGAAAGCACGUCGCGAGGACGGAUCCGACAGUGAGGGACGAAAGCCAGGGUCUCGAACCGGAUUAGAUACCCGGGUAGUCCUGGCCGUAAACAAUGUCUGCUAGGUGUGGCUCCCACUACGAGUGGGUGCUGUGCCGUAGGGAAGCCGCUAAGCAGACCGCCUGGGAAGUACGUCCGCAAGGAUGAAACUUAAAGGAAUUGGCGGGGGAGCACUACAACCGGAGGAGCCUGCGGUUUAAUUGGACUCAACGCCGGACAUCUCACCAGCAUCGACUGUAAUAAUGACGACCAGGUUGAUGACCUUGUCCGAGUUUCAGAGAG